GGUUGCCGUAUCGGCACUAACAGGGAAUCCGGUGAAAGACCGGAACAGCUCACUCUACCGUGAAUAGUACGAAAACACAUUAUGUCACUGAAAUAUUCAUUUCGGGAAGGCGUGUAAGUAGGUUAUAAGCUACAAGUCGGGAGACCUGCCGCAGUUU
Molecule: non-coding RNA, 157 nt
Filed under: bovine gut metagenome
Source: RNAcentral